GGUAAAUCAGCAGAGAGGGCUCCAUUUCCAGCCUAUGUGAGAGAGCCUGGCGUGUCUGGCUGCCAGGCCAAUCUGCGACCGGACAUUGGUCUGGUGAGUCCUGGGCCUGUGACCACAUCGGGGAAAACGGCCCCUCCUUUCUACCCUCCCUUCACCGGGGCCAACCCCAGAAGACGCCCCAUACCAGAACCUGCUCCCAUUGAUCCUCUACAGACAAAGAAAGUUCGUAAGGUCCCUCCUGGGCUGCCUUCAUCUGUGAGUGGAAGAUCAUUUCAUCUGCCUGCUAUACUUCUCAUAUAUAAAUAGAUCUCUCAGUGAGCAUAACCAAACACACACAUACAAACACACACACAAACACACACACUGUGCACACACAUACAAAUACACACACACAGACAAAGAGAGCUGUUGACAUCACUGUCGCACAAAUUUAGCUGGGAUUUCACUUGUUUUCCUUGACUCUUCAAAGGCGUCCUCUGCAGUGGCACUGGUGGUACCUGGUUGAUGUGUAAGGAGCCCAUAGCCCUGCC
Long non-coding RNA from Coregonus clupeaformis (lake whitefish), 530 nucleotides. RefSeq lists it as uncharacterized. NCBI's taxonomy places the organism in Eukaryota, Metazoa, Chordata, Actinopteri, Salmoniformes, Salmonidae. The record is from RefSeq and is a predicted model, not a curated record. The transcript is spliced from 3 exons.